UUGUUCGCAAUGGGCGCAAGCCUGACGACGCAACGCCGCGUGGAGGAUGAAGACCUUCGGGUCGUAAACUCCUUCCGAUCGAGACGAACGGUCUCCGGGUGAACAAUCCGGAGAAGUGACGGUACCGAGAGAAGAAGCACCGGCUAACUCCGUGCCAGCAGCCGCGGUAAUACGGAGGGUGCGAGCGUUAAUCGGACUUACUGGGCGUAAAGCGUGCGUAGGCGGUUCGUUAAGUCAGAUGUGAAAGCCCUGGGCUCAACCUGGGAACGGCAUUUGAAACUGGCGGACUAGAGUUUAGUAGAGGGGAGUGGAAUUUCAGGUGUAGCGGUGAAAUGCGUAGAUAUCUGAAGGAACACCAGUGGCGAAGGCGACUCCCUGGACUAGAACUGACGCUGAGUACGAAA
This 404-nucleotide ribosomal RNA is filed under the name uncultured bacterium. Its description in RNAcentral is "bacterial SSU rRNA". It matches the Rfam family "Bacterial small subunit ribosomal RNA", at positions 362 to 758 of the family's 1533-position model. The record is from RNAcentral.